AAGUCGUAACAAGGUUUCCGUAGGUGAACCUGCGGAAGGAUCAUUACCGAUUUUUAGCGAGCCUGACCUCUUUGGUCAUGGUCUCGCGAAAACUUUGUAUUUAAAACCCCACUCUUUAUUAUGUAAAUGAAUCAUUUAUUAUUAUUAUUUAUUAAUAAAUAAAGAUCACUUUCAACAACGGAUCUCUUGGCUCUC
RNAcentral lists this unclassified non-coding RNA (195 nucleotides) under Rhizophagus fasciculatus. RNAcentral describes it as "partial internal transcribed spacer region". The stretch from base 1 to 46 matches the Rfam family "Eukaryotic small subunit ribosomal RNA", at positions 1786 to 1831 of the family's 1831-position model. Lineage: Eukaryota; Fungi; Glomeromycota; Glomeromycetes; Glomerales; Glomeraceae. The record is from RNAcentral.